This 1173-nucleotide non-coding RNA is filed under the name Mus musculus (house mouse). The record is from RNAcentral. Lineage: Eukaryota; Metazoa; Chordata; Mammalia; Rodentia; Muridae.
GUUGACUUUAUGCAUUUAUUCAACCAUUACUAUCAGGAGGAAGUUGUGCCCAGUCCUUGGGCCCAUAAAGUUCAGUUUGUCAAUGAGGUUGGCUCUUCAAGGACACACAACAGACAAGAUCUCAGGGAGACUGAUUGAACUGCCCAGGGGUUGGUAUCUGCCCCCACCCCUGCCCCGUUCGGGUUCUGUUCUAUGCUGUGGCCCUGCUCUUAAUCACUAAGAAAGGGAGACUGGAGCCAUCAAAGAGAGACUUCCCAAAGCCCCUGCUCACUCACGCACUCUGGAAGCCUGCCUGAGAUGCUUGCUGCUGUUCUCACAUGUCUCUGCCAGGUGACUACAGGCACUGACUGUUCAUGUGUCUGUGUCUCCCCCACGUGACUUCAGUUUCUGCUCUGUCAUCCAUGCGUCUGGGCACAGGUGCUGACUCCAAGAUCCUCCUGCGGUUUCAGUGUGUUCCUCCCAGGCACUCCCCAUCCACAGCCAUUCUUGCCUCAAGAUCCAUAACCGGUAGCCCUGGAGUCUCCACUUCUCGCAUCCUUAAAUUCAGGAUCCUCUUCAUUGAAAGACUCCCAAGGGUCGGGUGUGGUAGUAUAGGCCUAUAAUCCCAGCACUCAGGGCAGACACAGGUGGAUCUCUGUGGUCUAUGUAUGGAGCUCUAGGCUAGGCAGGACUACAUAGUGAAAGCCUCAGGACUCCUCCUGGUGGCUGCAGUGGCCUUCCUCAGCGUCCUGGUUUUGAUGUCUGUCUCCAUCAGAUCAGCCAACGUUAUGGUCCUGUAUUCACCAUCUAUCUGGGAUCUCGCCGAAUUGUGGUGCUGUGCGGACAGGAGACAGUCAAGGAAGCUCUGGUGGACCAAGCUGAGGAAUUCAGCGGGCGGGGCGAGCAGGCUACCUUCGACUGGCUUUUCAAAGGCUAUGGUGAGAGGGUCUUCCCAGGCAUAGCCUUCAGCAGCGGGGAGCGAGCCAAACAGCUAAGGCGCUUCUCCAUCACCACGCUGCGGGACUUCGGCGUGGGGAAGCGUGGCAUCGAGGAGCGCAUCCAAGAGGAGGCGGGCUUUCUCAUCGAUUCAUUUCGGAAGACGAACGGUAAGCAGAGCACCGCAAGUUCUCAGGACCUUAGCCGAACAGUCUCCAAUGUCAUUAGCUCAAUCGUCUUCGGGGACCGCUUUGACUA